CGAGACGACGCUGGCGGCGUGGAUUAGGCAUGCAAGUCGAACGGUAUCAUCCUUUCGGGGGUGAGAGAGUGGCGAACUGGUGAGUAACACGUAGGUUAUCUACCCUCAAGACGGGGACAACCCAGGGAAACUUGGGCUAAUACCGGAUGUGAGCAACUUUUAGUUGUUUGAAAGGUGGCGUAAGCUGUCGCUUGGGGAUGAGCCUGCGUCCUAUUAGUUAGUUGGUGAGGUAACGGCUCACCUAGGCAAUGAUAGGUAGGCGGCCUUAACGGGUGGUCGCCCACACUGGGAUUGAGAUACGGCCCAGACUCCUACGGGAGGCAGCAGUCGAGAAUAGUCUACAAUGGUCGGAAGACUGAUAGUGCGACGCCGCGUGAACGAUGAAUCCCUUCGGGGUGUAAAGUUCUUUUAUAUGUGAGCAGUGCUUCUUAUAUUAACAGUAUGGGGAGAGAGAUAUUAGCAUAUGAAUAAGCAACGGCUAACUCCGUG
This 489-nucleotide ribosomal RNA is filed under the name uncultured bacterium. RNAcentral's name for it is "bacterial SSU rRNA". It matches the Rfam family "Bacterial small subunit ribosomal RNA", at positions 33 to 507 of the family's 1533-position model. The record is from RNAcentral.